RNAcentral lists this ribosomal RNA (600 nucleotides) under Eudicrana sp. DK-2013. Its description in RNAcentral is "eukaryotic LSU rRNA". It matches the Rfam family "Eukaryotic large subunit ribosomal RNA", at positions 391 to 820 of the family's 3401-position model. Lineage: Eukaryota; Metazoa; Arthropoda; Insecta; Diptera; Mycetophilidae. The record is from RNAcentral.
CAGAGUACGUGAAACCGCUUAGGGGUUAAGCCCGAUGAACCUGAAUAUCUGAAUUGGGAAAUUCAAUACUAUUUCAUUUAUUUUAUUUAAACAAUAGAUAUAUGGUGGUAUGCACUUUUCCCAUAGUAGGACAUUGCGAUCCAUUAGUAGUGCUUAUUUUAUAUAAGACAGUUUAUCAAACGGCCCGUGUAGUCAGUUUGUUCUAUCUGUAAUACUUGUUAUUAUAUGGACAAUGCUAUGUGGUGACCUGGUAAACAACUGAUGGAGCUUAAAAAUCAUGCUAACAUGCAAUUGUAUCACGGUUUGUAUAAAUUAUUUAUGUAAAUGCAGUGAUCGCAUGUAUUUGAUUAGCAAUGCGAUAGAUUUGGGAUACCUUCGGGACCCGUCUUGAAACACGGACCAAGAAGUCUAACAUGUGUGUAAGUCAUUGGGUAUUUUGUUGAAACCUAAAGGCGUAAUUAAAAUAACUAUAUUUUAAUGGGAUUACAAGCAAUUUUAUAUAAUUGUUUCUCCAUCCCGGGGCGUUCUAUACGAACAUGGUUUAAGCGAUUAGACCCUCUGUUCAAGAGCGUACCUUGAACAUACAUGCUGUGACCCGAA